This is a long non-coding RNA of Esox lucius (northern pike), 550 nucleotides long. RefSeq lists it as uncharacterized. The transcript is spliced from 3 exons. NCBI's taxonomy places the organism in Eukaryota, Metazoa, Chordata, Actinopteri, Esociformes, Esocidae. The record is from RefSeq and is a predicted model, not a curated record.
CCAGACAGCACAUAUGAGCCUGGAACACCUACCAUUCGAAGUUGGCCUUUAGAUAUAAACCAUAUUGUUCUCUGGGAACAUACAUUCCAUGACCUUACUCCUGGCUCCUGUCUAACGGAAAGCUUUCGGUGUCGACCUGAAGGCUGUCAAGAAAGUCUAGACUCUGUGGUAAAUCUGGUUCUUCCUUUCCUGUGGCAGUCCUCAUGAGGACCCCUUUACAUCAUAGCACUUGAUGUUUUUUGCAACUGCACUUGAAGAACCUUUCAACAUUCUUGACGUUUUCCAAAUGGACUAACAUUCACGCCCAAACUAAUGAUGGACUGUUGUUUUGUCUUUGCUUAUUUGAGCUGUUCUUGCCAUAUUAAGGACUACAGUAUAGACAUAAUUAUGGUAUUCUCGAUGCCAUUCAUAUAACACAACUGAUUGGCUCAAAAGCAUUAAGAAUGGAAGAAAUUCUACAAAUGUACUUUUAGCAAGGUAAACUUGUUGGUUGAAAUGUAUUCCAGGUGACUACCUCAUGAAACUGGUUGAGAGAAUGCAAAGAGUGUGA